RNAcentral lists this unclassified non-coding RNA (337 nucleotides) under soil metagenome. RNAcentral describes it as "partial contains 5.8S ribosomal RNA, internal transcribed spacer 2, and large subunit ribosomal RNA". The stretch from base 1 to 120 matches the Rfam family "5.8S ribosomal RNA", at positions 35 to 154 of the family's 154-position model. The record is from RNAcentral.
GAUGAAGAACGUAGUGAAAUGCGAUAAGUAGUGUGAAUUGCAGAAUUCAGUGAAUCAUCGAAUCUUUGAACGCACAUUGCGCCCCUUGGUAUUCCAUGGGGCAUGCCUGUUCGAGCGUUAUUUGUACCUUCAAGCUCUGCUUGGUGUUGGGUGUUUGUCUCGCCUUUGCGUGUAGACUCGCCUUAAAACCAUUGGCAGCCGGCGUAUUGAUUUCGGAGCGCAGUACAUCUCGCGCUUUGCACUCAGAACGACGACGUCCAAAAGUACAUUUUUACACUCUUGACCUCGGAUCAGGUAGGGAUACCCGCUGAACUUAAGCAUAUCAAUAAGCGGAGGA